This 76-nucleotide transfer RNA is filed under the name Phycisphaerae bacterium. RNAcentral's name for it is "tRNA-Ala". It matches the Rfam family "tRNA". Rfam says of the family: Transfer RNA (tRNA) molecules are approximately 80 nucleotides in length. RNAcentral also lists the same sequence under 1 other name. The record is from RNAcentral. Lineage: Bacteria; Pseudomonadati; Planctomycetota; Phycisphaerae.
GGGGGCAUAGCUCAGUUUUGGUAGAGCGCAUCCAUGGCAUGGAUGAGGUCAGGGGUUCGAGUCCCCUUGCCUCCAC